This is a long non-coding RNA of Papaver somniferum (opium poppy), 776 nucleotides long. RefSeq lists it as uncharacterized. The record is from RefSeq and is a predicted model, not a curated record. The transcript is spliced from 4 exons. Lineage: Eukaryota; Viridiplantae; Streptophyta; Magnoliopsida; Ranunculales; Papaveraceae.
AAAAAGAAAAGGAGGAAGAAAAUGGCAGUAGAUUUGAUCGAGAUUUACAGAUUUUUUUCAUUUUCUUUCUCUUUCCCUAUCAUCUUAAAAAUAGAUCUUCAUUUAGUUGAUCUCGUUCGAGAGAAGAUGACAAUCAUUUUAGGGGAAAAAUUGAUCGGGAAUUACAUUGAAGUUGAGAGAUCAGUUAAGAAGAGAAGCAAAGAAAGUGUCGUGGAAAUUUGAAAGACUCAACACAAAGAGGAAAUGUGAAUGGAACCCUGAAGAGUUUCUUGGGCUGCUGCAUUGCUUUAUGCUUAACGGUAAGUCUUCGAUAGUGAGUAGGUAUUCAAUGCAACACAAUGGCUCUCGUGUUGAAGUUUUUCAAGCACCGGAUGAUUUGGUCAACUCAACUAAGGAUGCGAGCAAUGAAUAUCGCUACAAAAGCAUUAUUAAUUUCAUGUCAAGGGUCUACCUUGUAACUAAUUGAAAGGAUCGGGUUCUUGUGGCUACAUUUCGAAAAUGCAAGCUUCUGUUCCUUAAACCGGGAUGAGAUGCUCAAGGAAGGCAUACUCUCUGGACCCUACAAGAUAAUUAGAGAGUAUUUGGCGCUACAAUCAAGGUGGAAGCAUCUGGAUUAUUGCGGAGAGACAACACUGCCAAUUUCAUCUGUUCACAUUUAUGAUAAUUUUUGCAGUUUAGAUAAUUAAACAUAUACUCCCUCCGUCUCUAAUUAGAUGAUCUAUACCAUAAAUAAGUGGAGUGAUAGAUUAAUAUUAUUAUAAGAAAUAUGUAAAAUU